RNAcentral lists this non-coding RNA (43 nucleotides) under Trypanosoma brucei brucei. Lineage: Eukaryota; Euglenozoa; Kinetoplastea; Trypanosomatida; Trypanosomatidae. The record is from RNAcentral.
ACAUAUAAAUAACAUGCAAGCUAUCGUAACUGAUUUUACAGAG